GAUCCGGGCUCAGGAUGAACGCUGGCGGCGUGCCUAAUACAUGCAAGUAGAACGCUGAAGGAAGGAGCUUGCUCUUUCCGGAUGAGUUGCGAACGGGUGAGUAACGCGUAGGUAACCUGCCUGGUAGCGGGGGAUAACUAUUGGAAACGAUAGCUAAUACCGCAUAACAGUAGAUGUUGCAUGACAUUUACUUGAAAGGUGCAAAUGCACCACUACCAGAUGGACCUGCGUUGUAUUAG
This 239-nucleotide ribosomal RNA is filed under the name uncultured bacterium. RNAcentral describes it as "partial 16S ribosomal RNA". It matches the Rfam family "Bacterial small subunit ribosomal RNA", at positions 15 to 244 of the family's 1533-position model. The record is from RNAcentral.